GCCAGAAUCCCUGCUCUUUUUUGUGGGCAGGAACAGACUAGAAGUAUAAGAAGGCCUAUGGAAGACAGAACGAACAGCAGAGUUCUUCACAGGAACCGGCUGCCACCUAAUGAACCAAAAUGGGACACUUGGCACUAUAAACUCCAAGCAGUGGAAGUAUAAGAGAAAGAAGCAUCAUGUCACAGAGAGAAGCAGAGAGAACUGCAAGUGCAGAGCUUCCACGAGGACAGAGAAGUAAAUAUGCCUUGAGAAAGUAGACCUGGACACUGCUACAUGUCAUGUUCUGGUUUCUGAAAAAAGUUCCAAACAUGCCAGCAGUCAUUCAAAACAGAAUCCACAAUGUAGCUUCCAUGUUUCAUACCACUGAACACAGGUAGAAAAGUCCAACACUAGCCAUUUCUGUGAUACUGUUAGUGAAUUAGUUUUCAAGUGAGCAUCAAUCAACUGAUAAAUCUCCAUCUGUCCACCUACAAAUCGCAAGAUCAUUACUGAGAAAAAAUAACCAGAGGCUUGUCUUCCAUCAAAACAGCUUGUCACUGAAUUUUCUCUCUUUUCUCAAUUUGAGAAUUUUCCUACCUUCCUUUUCAACAGCUAUGGAGAAAAGGAAUCCUUGCCUGAAAUGAUUAAGAGCUAAUCAGAACCAGUUACUGAACAUUUAUCAACAUUUAUUACACAUCAGAGUUGAUGGGACGCAACCAGUUUUCAUGAAUUCACUCUGGCUUAACAUGUGUCACAGAUUGGCGUAAGCAGCAGUACUUCCCUUUAUUAAAAUAUCUGAUAAAUGUCAUGGAUUUUUACCCACAUAAUUUUGAUUAUGUUUUCCCAAAGCAGGACAACUAACUGCUGAUAAAAUAGGUAGUGGUACCAUACUGGAACAAAACCACAAACUAAUCAACCCUCUAAAAUUACUUCAAAUUUUUCUCAAAGCGUAUAUUGUAAUAAUGGAAAGACCACAAACAGACAGAA
Molecule: long non-coding RNA, 966 nt
Organism: Sphaerodactylus townsendi
Lineage: Eukaryota; Metazoa; Chordata; Lepidosauria; Squamata; Sphaerodactylidae
Exons: 3
Source: RefSeq, a predicted model, not a curated record